RNAcentral lists this ribosomal RNA (433 nucleotides) under uncultured bacterium. RNAcentral describes it as "partial 16S ribosomal RNA". It matches the Rfam family "Bacterial small subunit ribosomal RNA", at positions 29 to 507 of the family's 1533-position model. The record is from RNAcentral.
AACGAACGCUGGCGGCAUGCCUAACACAUGCAAGUCGAACGAGACCUUCGGGUCUAGUGGCGCACGGGUGCGUAACGCGUGGGAACCUGCACUUAGGUUCGGAAUAACUCCCCGAAAGGGGUGCUAAUACCGGAUAAUGUCUUCGGACCAAAGAUAUAUCGCCUUUGGAUGGGCCCGCGUUGCAUUAGCUAGUUGGUAGGGUAAAAGCAUACCAAGGCGACGAUCCAUAGCUGGGCUGGGAGGAUGAUCAGCCACACUGGGACUGGGAAACGGCCCAGACUCCUACGGGAGGCAGGAGAGGCGGAUAUUGGAACACGGGCGAAAGCAUGAUCCAGCACGGCCGCGUGAGUGAUGAAGGCAUGAGAGUUGUAAAGCUCUAUUACCCGGGAUGAUAAUGACAGUACCGGGAGAAUAGGCUCCGGCUAACUCCGUG